Molecule: non-coding RNA, 30 nt
Filed under: Mus musculus (house mouse)
Lineage: Eukaryota; Metazoa; Chordata; Mammalia; Rodentia; Muridae
Source: RNAcentral
UAGCUAUGGUGAAAAGAGAAACCUCAAACA